Molecule: transfer RNA, 87 nt
Filed under: Leptotrichiaceae bacterium
Lineage: Bacteria; Fusobacteriati; Fusobacteriota; Fusobacteriia; Fusobacteriales; Leptotrichiaceae
Description: tRNA-Leu
Rfam family: tRNA
About the family: Transfer RNA (tRNA) molecules are approximately 80 nucleotides in length. Their secondary structure includes four short double-helical elements and three loops (D, anti-codon, and T loops).
Source: RNAcentral
GCCUGGAUGGCGAAAUUGGUAGACGCAUCAGACUCAAAAUCUGACGGAUGUAUUUCCUUGUGGGUUCAAGUCCCACUCUAGGUACCA